UCCCUGAUAGCUCAGUUGGUAAAGAAUCUGCCUGCAAUGCAGGAGACCUCAGUUCAAUAUCUGGGUUGGGAAG
Transfer RNA from Ovis aries (sheep), 73 nucleotides. It matches the Rfam family "tRNA". From Rfam's summary of the family: Transfer RNA (tRNA) molecules are approximately 80 nucleotides in length. Their secondary structure includes four short double-helical elements and three loops (D, anti-codon, and T loops). The record is from Rfam. NCBI's taxonomy places the organism in Eukaryota, Metazoa, Chordata, Mammalia, Artiodactyla, Bovidae.